This 492-nucleotide ribosomal RNA is filed under the name uncultured bacterium. Its description in RNAcentral is "partial 16S ribosomal RNA". It matches the Rfam family "Bacterial small subunit ribosomal RNA", at positions 29 to 507 of the family's 1533-position model. The record is from RNAcentral.
AGUGAACGCUGGCGGUAGGCCUAACACAUGCAAGUCGAACGGCAGCACAGUAAGAGCUUGCUCUUACGGUUGGCGAGUGGCGGACGGGUGAGGAAUACAUCGGAAUCUACUUUUUCGUGGGGGAUAACGUAGGGAAACUUACGCUAAUACCGCAUACGACCUACGGGUGAAAUCAGGGGAUCUUCGGACCUUGCGCGAUUGAAUGAGCCGAUGUCGGAUUAGCUAGUUGGCUGGGUAAGGGCCCACCAAGGCGACGAUACGUAGCUGGUCUGAGAGGAUGAUCAGCCACACUGGAACUGAGACACGGUCCAGACUCCUACGGGAGGCAGCAGUGGGGAAUAUUGGACAAUGGGCGAAAGCCUGAUCCAGCCAUACCGCGUGAGUGAAGAAGGUCUUCGGGUUGUAAAGCCCUUUUGUUGGGAAAGAACAGCAGCAGGUUAAUACCCCGCUGUUCUGACGGUACCCAAAGAAUAAGCACCGGCUAACUUCGUG